AUCAUCAUCCCCUUAUGUCUUGGCUUCACACAUGCUACAAUGGCCGGUCAAAGGGUUGCGAUACUGUGAGGUGGAGCUAAUCCCAAAAAGCCGGUCUCAGUUCGGAUUGGGGUCUGCNACUCGACCCCAUGAAGUCGGAGUCGCUAGUAAUCGCAGAUCAGCAACGCUGCGGUGAAUNCGUUCCCGGGCCUUGUACACACCCCNCNUCAAGNCACGAAAGUUGGUAACACCCGAACCGGUGGCCUAACCCCUUGUGGGAGGGAGCUGUCGAAGGUGGGANUGGCNGAUUGGG
This 292-nucleotide ribosomal RNA is filed under the name coryneform actinomycete B723. Its description in RNAcentral is "partial 16S ribosomal RNA". It matches the Rfam family "Bacterial small subunit ribosomal RNA", at positions 1189 to 1479 of the family's 1533-position model. The record is from RNAcentral. Lineage: Bacteria; Bacillati; Actinomycetota; Actinomycetes.